Rhineura floridana is the source of this 364-nucleotide long non-coding RNA. RefSeq lists it as uncharacterized. The record is from RefSeq and is a predicted model, not a curated record. The transcript has 3 exons. NCBI's taxonomy places the organism in Eukaryota, Metazoa, Chordata, Lepidosauria, Squamata, Rhineuridae.
UGUGACCCCUCACGUGUAACGCCGUUGCUAGCCUCUAGACUUUCGGACUGGAUCCCUGGCUUUCUGGACUCUGCUUCCCUACCUGGACAAUGCUCUUGGACACUGCUACUGCACUUCCAACAUAUGUGACUAACAGAGCAAUCCUAUGCAGAUAUGCAUGUGGAGGAAGAUGAGAUUCCCUGCUGGCGUAACCACCACAUCCAAGGCCCCACCAGGAGUAGGCAGAGCAGGCAAAUAUAUACAUGGAACCUGUUGGAAGUGAGCAGGUAUCUAUAAGCCAACACAACUGCUAAUCCAGCAUCAGAAUCCCAAAGACAGUAACUGCACCCUAAGGAUGCUUCAGCUGCAGUCAACUCCAUCUGAA